Non-coding RNA from Cinara cedri, 241 nucleotides. The record is from the annotation of a GenBank genome assembly. Lineage: Eukaryota; Metazoa; Arthropoda; Insecta; Hemiptera; Aphididae.
CGCAAUGAAAUUUAUAUUUACUUUUAGAACAUUAUCCUCCUUGCCGUAGUAUCCGGUUUGGGUUUAUGUUAAACGUAGAAUAAAUAUGUUUUAAUCUAUGAUGUUAGGCAAGCAGUUAUUCCCAUACGUACGCCUACGAUGUGGGUCGCGCAGUACGCAGUGGUGAUGAUCAAAACAAGACCAAAACUUCCAAAAUCUUGGUAUUGGUUUUACGCAAGACUUGUGAGACUUGCUAUCUUCA